Molecule: transfer RNA, 69 nt
Filed under: Marmota monax (woodchuck)
Lineage: Eukaryota; Metazoa; Chordata; Mammalia; Rodentia; Sciuridae
Description: tRNA.Ala
Source: RNAcentral
GGGGUUGUGGCUCAGUGGUAGAGUACUUGCCUAGCGUGUGUGAGGCACUGUGUUCAAUCCUCAACACCA